GUAGGGGGCGAGCGUUGUCCGGAUUUAUUGGGCGUAAAGAGCUCGUAGGCGGUUCGAUAAGUCGGAUGUGAAAUCUCCACGCUCAACGUGGAGGGGCCAUUCGAUNCUGUCGUGACUCGAGUCCGGUAGGGGAGUGUGGAAUUCCCGGUGUAGCGGUGAAAUGCGCAGAGAUCGGGAGGAACACCCGUAGCGAAGGCGGCACUCUGGGCCGGUACUGACGCUGAGGAGCGAAAGCGUGGGGAGCAAACAGGAUUAGAUACCCUGGUAGUCCACGCCGUAAACGUUGGGCACUAGGUGUGGGACUCUAUCGACGGGUUCCGUGCCGUAGCUAACGCAUUAAGUGCCCCGCCUGGGGAGUACGGCCGCAAGGCUA
Molecule: ribosomal RNA, 373 nt
Filed under: uncultured bacterium
Lineage: Bacteria
Description: bacterial SSU rRNA
Rfam family: Bacterial small subunit ribosomal RNA
Source: RNAcentral